ACAAGCGGUGGAUGAUGUGGAUUAAUUCGAUGCAACGCGAAAACCUUACCUACCCUUGACAUGUCUGGAACCUUGGUGAGAGCCGAGGGUGCCUUCGGGAGCCAGAACACAGGUGCUGCAUGGCUGUCGUCAGCUCGUGUCGUGAGAUGUUGGGUUAAGUCCCGCAACGAGCGCAACCCUUGUCACUAGUUGCCAUCAUUUAGUUGGGCACUCUAGUGAGACUGCCGGUGACAAACCGGAGGAAGGUGGGGAUGACGUCAAGUCCUCAUGGCCCUUAUGGGUAGGGCUUCACGCGUCAUACAAUGGUCGGUACAGAGGGUUGCCAAGCCGCGAGGUGGAGCCAAUCCCUUAAAGCCGAUCGUAGUCCGGAUCGCAGUCUGCAACUCGACUGCGUGAAGUCGGAAUCGCUAGUAAUCGUGGAUCAGCAUGUCACGGUGAAUACGUUCCCGGGUCUU
This 455-nucleotide ribosomal RNA is filed under the name uncultured Thauera sp. RNAcentral's name for it is "bacterial SSU rRNA". It matches the Rfam family "Bacterial small subunit ribosomal RNA", at positions 925 to 1382 of the family's 1533-position model. The record is from RNAcentral. Lineage: Bacteria; Pseudomonadati; Pseudomonadota; Betaproteobacteria; Rhodocyclales; Zoogloeaceae.